Molecule: ribosomal RNA, 548 nt
Filed under: uncultured bacterium
Lineage: Bacteria
Description: bacterial SSU rRNA
Rfam family: Bacterial small subunit ribosomal RNA
Source: RNAcentral
AGUGAGGAAUAUUGGACAAUGGACGAAAGUCUGAUCCAGCUAUGCCGCGUGCAGGAUGACGGCCCUAUGGGUUGUAAACUGCUUUUAUACAGGAAGAAAAACUCCGACGUGUCGGAACUUGACGGUACUGUAAGAAUAAGGAUCGGCUAACUCCGUGCCAGCAGCCGCGGUAAUACGGAGGAUCCAAGCGUUAUCCGGAAUCAUUGGGUUUAAAGGGUCCGUAGGCGGUUUUUUAAGUCAGAGGUGAAAUCCUGCAGCUCAACUGUAGAAUUGCCUUUGAUACUGAAAGACUUGAGUUAUUGUGAAGUGGUUAGAAUGUGUGGUGUAGCGGUGAAAUGCAUAGAUAUCACACAGAAUACCAAUUGCGAAGGCAGAUCACUAACAAUAUACUGACGCUCAGGGANGAAAGCGUGGGUAGCGAACAGGAUUAGAUACCCUGGUAGUCCACGCCGUAAACGAUGGAUACUAGCUGUAUGUCUACUUCAGGUAGAUNNGUGGCUAAGCGAAAGUGAUAAGUAUCCCACCUGGGGAGUACGAUCGCAAGAUUG